GCGGUAGGCCGGCACGGCGGUACUCGGCUCCGAGGAGUGCGCGGACUGCGUGCGGGACGGGGCGAGCUCGGGGGUUGUCUCGCCGGGGGCCAGAAGUUAAUGUUUAACGCGGUAGUCACACGCCCGUCAGCGAGCUCGGCUGGGGUGUUUUCGGAGUGUUUGGAACAGGAAAUGCCAGCGCAGGUAGCGUGGAGCUCGGUGAAAUUUAAUCAGUUCCCAGCGUUUGCAGUCGCGCGAGGAGCGCUCCGGGUGCAGGUGGGCGGGCGGCUGCGUGCAGGCUGCUCGGCACCCGGCGCUCCGUCUGUCCCCUGCUUUGAUUUUCUAUGCAAAUACGGUAAAAGACGCUUUCCAGGGGUAAUACGUCUCGUUUUCUCAGCGCGUUUUUUCCUCUUCCCAAAAGCUGUGAAUACAACAGCACCUUCGUGUAAUGUGUUGCUGACGUGGAGCAAACUGAGAACCGUUUCCCUGAAAUUCUCACAGUGAGCCAUAACUUUUCUGAAACCCACCGCAACAGCCCAAUGCUUUGUGCACGGAAGUUACGCGUUAUUGUACCAGUGAAAUGGAAAGCAAAGUGAUUAUACAGAAGCUCUUAGUGAAUAAACAAUUCUUGUCUUAAAUUGUUCUGAUAGAG
This 631-nucleotide long non-coding RNA is filed under the name Chrysolophus pictus (golden pheasant). Its description in RNAcentral is "lncRNA (ENSCPIG00010000320.1)". Lineage: Eukaryota; Metazoa; Chordata; Aves; Galliformes; Phasianidae. The record is from RNAcentral.